CCUACGGGAGGCUGCAGUGGGGAAUAUUGCACAAUAGGCGCAAGCCUGAUGCAACCAUGCCGCGUGUGUGAAGAAGGCCUUCGGGUUGUAAAGCACUUUCAGCGGGGAGGAAGGCGGUGAGGUUAAUAACCUCAUCGAUUGACGUUACCCGCAGAAGAAGCACCGGCUAACUCCGUGCCAGCAGCCGCGGUAAUACGGAGGGUGCAAGCGUUAAUCGGAAUUACUGGGCGUAAAGCGCACGCAGGCGGUCUGUCAAGUCGGAUGUGAAAUCCCCGGGCUCAACCUGGGAACUGCAUUCGAAACUGGCAGGCUAGAGUCUUGUAGAGGGGGGUAGAAUUCCAGGUGUAGCGGUGAAAUGCGUAGAGAUCUGGAGGAAUACCGGUGGCGAAGGCGGCCCCCUGGACAAAGACUGACGCUCAGGUGCGAAAGCGUGGGGAGCAAACAGGAUUAGAUACCCGGGUAGUC
This 465-nucleotide ribosomal RNA is filed under the name uncultured Klebsiella sp. RNAcentral describes it as "bacterial SSU rRNA". It matches the Rfam family "Bacterial small subunit ribosomal RNA", at positions 338 to 795 of the family's 1533-position model. The record is from RNAcentral. Lineage: Bacteria; Pseudomonadati; Pseudomonadota; Gammaproteobacteria; Enterobacterales; Enterobacteriaceae.